AAAAACAGAUAAGGGCAGACGGUGGAUGCCUUGGCUCUCGGAGGCGAAGAAGGACGUGAUAAGCUGCGAUAAGCUACGGGGAUUGGCACAUACAAAUUGAUCCGUAGAUUUCCGAAUGGGGCAACCCGGUACAUUGAAGAUGUAUCACACUGCAGAGCAGUGAGCGAACGUGGGGAACUGAAACAUCUAAGUACCCAUAGGAGAAGAAAACAAAAGUGAUUCCCUUAGUAGUGGCGAGCGAACGGGGAACAGCCCAAACCAGAUUUGUUUCGGCAAAACUGGGGUUGUAGGACCUCUAUAUAGGAAGACAAGAUUAGGAGAACGGUCUGGAAAGGCCGGCCAUAGAACAUGAGAGCUGUGUAUCCGAAAAUCUUCGUUGGACUUAGAGGUAUCCUGAGUAGCGCGGGACACGUGAAAUCCUGUGUGAAUCUGCGGGGCCCAUCCCGUAAGGCUAAAUACUCCCGAGAGACCGAUAGUGAACCAGUACCGUGAGGGAAAGGUGAAAAGAACCUCGAACAGAGGAGUGCAAUAGAUCCUGAACCCGUCUGCCUACAAGCGGUAGGAGCAGCUUCGAGCUGUGACUGCGUGCCUUUUGCAUAAUGAACCUACGAGUUACUUUCUCUGGCAAGGUUAAGUGAUGAAGAGUCACGUGAGCCGAAGCGAAAGCGAGUCUGAAUAGGGCGAUUUAGUCAGAGGGAGUAGACGCGAAACCAAGUGAUCUACCCUUGGUCAGGUUGAAGGUUGGGUAAAACCAACUGGAGGACCGCACCGGUAAGCGUUGAAAAGCUUUCGGAUGAACUGAGGGUAGGGGUGAAAGGCUAAUCAAACUUGGAGAUAGCUCGUACUCCCCGAAAUGCAUUUAGGUGCAGCCUGUGGAGUUUCUUACGUGAGGUAGAGCGACUGAUUGGAUGCGAGGCUUUCACCGGCUAUCAAGUCCAGACAAACUCCGAAUGCACGUUAAGUAAGAUCCACGGAGUGAGGGCAUGGGUGCUAAGGUCCAUGUCCGAGAGGAGAAGAAUCCAGACCAUCGGCUAAGGUCCCGAAAUAAUAGCUAAGUUGACCAAACGAAGUCAGAGUGCGAAGACAGCUAGGAUGUUGGCUUGGAAGCAGCCAUUCAUUUAAAGAGUGCGUAACAGCUCACUAGUCGAGUGCUUUGGCGUGGAUAAUAAUCGGGCAUAAGCUAUUUACCGAAGCUGUGGGAUGUGUAAACAUCGGUAGGGGAGCAUUCUAGCGACGCUGAAGGUGAGAGGACAACUCUUGCUGGAGUUUCUAGAAAAGCAAAUGUAGGUAUAAGUAACGAUAAAGGAGGUGAGAAACCUCCUCGCCGAAAGACUAAGGGUUCCUGAUCAACGCUAAUCGGAUCAGGGUUAGUCGGGGCCUAAGGGGAAGCCGAACGGCGCACCCGAUGGAAGAACCGGUUAAUAUUCCGGUACUAAUUAUGUGAGCGAUGUGGAGACGGAGAUGUGACGGUCCUGCCACCUGACGGAAUAGGUGGUUGAAGGGUGUAGGAGUUGAUCUGAGUAGGCAAAUCCGCUCGGAGAUCCGAACCUGACAGUACUCUGAGUGCUUGCACAAGGAGAUAUGGACAACUGUAACGGUGCUCCCAAGAAAAUCCGCUAAGCAUAUUGCAUGAUUACCCGUACCAUAAACCGACACAGGUGGUUGGGUUGAGUAUACUAAGGCGCUCGAGUGAUUCGCGGUUAAGGAACUAGGCAAAAUAGUCCUGUAACUUCGGAAUAAAGGACGCUCACAGUGAAGGCUGUGAGCCGCAGAGAAUAGGCCCAGGCGACUGUUUAACAAAAACACAUGGCUAUGCUAAAUCGAAAGAUACUGUAUAUAGCCUGACACCUGCCCGGUGCUGGAAGGUUAAGAGGAGAUGUCAUCGCAAGAGAAGCAUUGAAUUGAAGCCCCAGUAAACGGCGGCCGUAACUAUAACGGUCCUAAGGUAGCGAAAUUCCUUGUCGGGUAAGUUCCGACCUGCACGAAUGGUGUAAUGAUCCGGACGCUGUCUCAAUCAUGAUCUCAGUGAAAUUGUAGUAUCGGUGAAGAUGCCGAUUACCCGCGAUGGGACGAAAAGACCCCGUGAACCUUUACUACAGCUUAGCAUUGACCUUGGUCAUCCGAUGUGUAGGAUAGGCCGGAGGCUUCGAAGCGGGUGCGCCAGCAUUCGUGGAGCCAUCCUUGAAAUACGGCCCUUUGGCUGUCUGAGGUCUAACGCGCCUGAGGUGCGGACACUGCUUGGUGGGUAGUUUGACUGGGGUGGUCGCCUCCAAAAGCGUAACGGAGGCUUCCAAAGGUGCCCUCGGGCCGAUUGGUAACCGGCCUUAUAGAGUGCAAUGGCAUAAGGGCGCUUGACUGGGAGGCAGACAUGCCGAGCAGGCAGGAAACUGGGGCAUAGUGAUCCGGCGGACGUGUAUGGAAACUCCGUCGCUCAAAGGAUAAAAGGUACUCCGGGGAUAACAGGCUGAUCCCCCCCAAGAGCUCAUAUCGACGGGGUGGUUUGGCACCUCGAUGUCGGCUCGUCACAUCCUGGGGCUGGAGAAGGUCCCAAGGGUUGGGCUGUUCGCCCAUUAAAGUGGCACGCGAGCUGGGUUCAGAACGUCGUGAGACAGUUCGGUCUCUAUCUGUUGUGGGCGUUUGAGAUUUGAGGGGGCCUGACACUAGUACGAGAGGACCGUGUUGGACGAACCGCUGGUUUAUCGGUUAUGCCGCCAGGCGUAUUGCCGAGUAGCUACGUUCGGUUGAGAUAAGUGCUGAAAGCAUCUAAGUACGAAGCUUGCCUCAAGAUUAGAUCUCAUUAUAAGGGUGGUUAUAGACGAUGACCUUGAUAGGCUACAGGUGUAAAGGCGGUGACGUCAUAGCCGAGUAGUACUAAUUGCCCGAAAGUUUUUGCCUG
This 2896-nucleotide ribosomal RNA is filed under the name Porphyromonadaceae bacterium. RNAcentral's name for it is "23S ribosomal RNA". It matches the Rfam family "Bacterial large subunit ribosomal RNA". The record is from RNAcentral. Lineage: Bacteria; Pseudomonadati; Bacteroidota; Bacteroidia; Bacteroidales; Porphyromonadaceae.